GUCGAACGAAGUAGCAAUACUUAGUGGCAGACGGGUGUGUAACAUGUAGGUAUCUACCCUAUGGCCUGGAAUAACACGAGGAAACUUGUGCUAAUACCGGAUAAGUCUUUACGGAGAAAGCUUUAUGCACCAUUGGAUGAGCCUGCACUUGAUUAGUUUGUUGGUGGGGUAAUGGCCUACCAAGACUUUGAUCAAUAGCUGAUUUGAGAGGAUGAUCAGCCACAUUGGGACUGAGACACGGCCCAAACUCCUACGGGAGGCAGCAGUGGGGAAUCUUGCACAAUGGAGGAAACUCUGAUGCAGCGAUGCCGCGUGAGUGAAGAAGGCCUUUGGGUUGUAAAGCUCUUUCGUCGGGGAAGAAAAUGACUGUACCCGAAUAAGAAGGUCCGGCUAACUUCGUGCCAGCAGCCGCGGUAAUACGAAGGGACCUAGCGUAGUUCGGAAUUACUGGGCUUAAAGAGUUCGUAGGUGGUUGAAAAAGUUGGCGGUGAAAUCCCAGAGCUUAACUCUGGAACUGCCAUCAAAACUUUUCAGCUAGAGUUUGAUAGAGGAAAGCAGAAUUUCUAGUGUAGAGGUGAAAUUCGUAGAUAUUAGAAAGAAUACCAAUUGCGAAGGCAGCUUUCUGGAUCAUUACUGACACUGAGGAACGAAAGCAUGGGUAGCGAAGAGGAUUAGAUACCCUCGUAGUCCAUGCCGUAAACGAUGUGUGUUAGACGUUGGAAAUUUUUUUUCCAGUGUCGCAGCGAAAGCGAUAAACACACCGCCUGGGGAGUACGACCGCAAGGUUAAAACUCAAAUGAAUUGACGGGGA
Molecule: ribosomal RNA, 811 nt
Filed under: uncultured marine bacterium
Lineage: Bacteria
Description: bacterial SSU rRNA
Rfam family: Bacterial small subunit ribosomal RNA
Source: RNAcentral